RNA transcript from Orcinus orca (killer whale), 2901 nucleotides. It is a transcript of the gene named chromosome 6 C8orf74 homolog, with no coding region annotated. The record is from RefSeq and is a predicted model, not a curated record. Lineage: Eukaryota; Metazoa; Chordata; Mammalia; Artiodactyla; Delphinidae. The transcript has 3 exons.
AAACAAAUCAUCAAAACGGUUAAGUGAACGCAUGACGUGUAAAGUGCUGCUGGUAACGCGUUCAGGGCUACCAGACUUGUCACAGGGACCCGGGAAAGAUUUCCCUGGGAAAGAGACGAUUAAGCUGAUACCCGAGGCACCAGAAGGAUGUAGGCAGAGACACAGUAGAGGAGCUUCCAGGAAGAGAAGCAACAUACGCAAAGUUCUGGAAGGAGGAGAAGAAAGGGCUGGAGAAGAAAGAAAGACCCCGAUCACGGAGGGCCUUGUGAUCCCCGUGAAGUCUUCGGGGGCUGCUCUACAAACAACCGUUGAGGGUUUUGAAGCAAGAAAUUGACAUAGUCCAUUUUUAAAUAUCUAUGUAUCUGUGUGUGCAGAGAGAGGGAACAAUAUAUCCCUAUAUAAAAUAAAAUUCAGAGAUCUUAAGCAAGCAGGUUAUACCAGAAUAACCAACGCCCCAAACAAGAUGCAGAACAUUAUAAUCACUCUAGCAAGUUCCCCCUUGCCAAUUUCCAGUCCAUAAGCAGAUUUUUGUUUGUUUUUGUUUUUGUUUACUCUGGUGACAGUGUGGAGAAUAGUUGUUUGGGGUCUGGGUAUGAUAGUACCUAGGCAAGAAAGGAUGGAGGCCUAUCCUUGGGUCAUAGUGAUGGGGGUGGAGAGAAGAGAAGGGACCCGAAAAUAUUUAGGAGGUAAAGUCGGCAGAACUUGGAGUGACUGGGAAGGAGGAAUAGCGGGAGGAGCAGGUAAGAUGACUCGCAGGUUGCUGGUUUGGGCAGCUGGAGGAACACUGAGUCAGCCUGGGGGAGAAGAGGGUCCAGAGGCUUUCUAGAAGUGCUGACACACAAGUGGAGCUUUGCAGAAUCAGUAAGCGUUAACUAGGUGAUCGGGGGUUAGAAGUGCAUUUCAGGAAAGGGGCUCGUAAAGGAAAGGCUCAGGGAUGAUCCUGGGAAUGAACACAAAUUUGAGCACCUGGAUCUAGCCUCGCCUGAAGCACACACACUGAGACAUUUUGGUUCUGUGAAACAAUAGAUCCUCACUUGGUCUAAGCCAGCUUGAGUUUCCGAUGCAACAAAGAGAACUGUGACUUACAGACCACAAGGAGAACAUUGAAAGGGAUGGGGAAGGAAAUGAGAAGGGGCUCUAUGUCUGGGACAUCAAGCCCCAUCGCAGCUCUGGGACCCCAGACUUAGGAUAGAACUCAAGUAAGGGGCAUCACCUGAGAGUCCAGGCAUGGCGGCCAUCCUGUAGGCCCUACCCCAGCAUUGAAGGCUGUGACGGCUCCUGCUGGGCAGGCCCAGACUCGGAGACUCACCCCCUUGGACCACUGCAUGAAGACUCCCUCUGGCAACACUCCCCAACACGAAUCAGCCCCGGAGACCCCUAGAAACCUACCAAGCAGCAUAACUUCUCAAUCAUCCAUUUCCGGGGAAAGGCAUCAGCAUACCCCAAGCUGAGACAGAGAAACCAGAAGGUCGGGAGCACCUACGGAGACUGUUGAACUGGGAAGAGUUUGACGAGCUCAGAGACUCCCGCAGAAGCAUCCUGCUGGACACCCUCUACGAAAGUAUCAUCUUCGCUGCGGACAAAGGCUUCCCCUGGGUAGAGGUGGCCCAGGUGGUCAAGUUCACAGAAGAGCUGCUCAAAGAAACCAAAGCUCCAAAUGUGUGAAACAUGGCUGGUACACACAUCAAGUAGGAAGAAGCCUUUGGGUGGGCUCCCAGUGCCUGAAAUUGGAUUCGGCAAAGAUAGCGUCCAUCUGGAGGCUCCAAACCUGGAGAGAAGACUCAAAUCCUAGUUCAGUCCCUUGCAAGACAUGAGGACCUGGGCAGCCACACCACCUCUGAGCCUCUAAUUACACAUUGAGAGAAGGAGAAAAACAAGAGUGCCCACUUCAUAGGACUGAGUUCAUGACGAUGAAGCCGACAGCACAGCGCUUGUUGCCUAGUCAGCGCUCAGUGAGGACUGGCCCUUAGUUUCAGGAGGGACCACAAAGACCCGGAGAUGCGAUGGGGGUGAUGGGAUUCCAAGAUGGCCUGAUCGAUCAGGUGUGGCUGGCCAUGCUGUGUGCAGAUCCCGCUUCACAUCAGCCUCCAAACGUCCAGGAGUCACCUCAGCCCCUUCUCAAGAGCAGCAGAGAUGGUCCCAGGCCCUUUCUCCUCAGAUGCGUCCCAGGGAGCAGGGCAGGACAACGGGCAGGGAGCAGGGUGCCUGGAGGUAAAGCAAACUGCAGACUCGUCCCCGAAGUGGGGCUGCAAGAAAAGACGCAGAUAAGAUGGUCCCGGCUCCACCCCCGGCUAACGGACCCACUGUGAGUGCCGACUCCAGCUGACUCUGGGCUUGGAGGGUGCAGAGUGUGGGUGCAGCAGGGAAGAGCCACCCGAGAACCCGGCCUCCUGGGCUAGGCCCACGCACCUCAGGCCCCGCCACGCUGUCAUCAGGAUGACGCCUGCUGCUGUAGAAAGCGGCCACGCUGGCCCGACAUCACCCCGCAGAGCCACGCCCACACUGCCUCCCAGAAACCCACAACUGGAACACUCACAAGAGCGUGAACAAGCGUAUCAGUCCUCAGAGGCAGGGGUGGAAUUUCAGCGGGCACCUCCUCUCUCCCCCAGACACUCCUCCUUACUGUGCAUCAGCUCCAGGCCCAGGCUGGGCCAGGCUAAAGGCCGCAUAGCCGAGCAAUCAGGCACCAAACUCUGCAGUCAGUAGACCUGGAUUCCAGUCUGCCUCCAACACAUUACUGUGCAACCUAGAGAGCAGUACUUUACCUCUCUGUGCCUUCCAUUCCUUACCUCUAAAAUAGGGCCAUGAUAUUUCCAACUCAUAGGGCAUUUGGAAAAACUAAAGAGGCAGGGCCUGCAGAGUAUAAUAGAGUGGGAGGCAUGUAGGAAAUGCUAGGCAAAG